UCUCCACACACCUCCACCUCACCUUUCUCCGGCUCAACCGCGCUACCAUGACUUUCCCCAUGGCCACCUCCACCGCCUCCACGGCCGCCGCCGCUUCCCUCCGCCUUCUCCCGGUGCCAGCCACCCCAUCCUCCCGCACUCUCCGCUUCUCGCCCAUCCUCCGCCGCGCGCCCCGCGCCCUCUUAUCCGUCUCCGCCCUCAGCAAGCUCUCCGAGGCGCCCCCCGUCCCCAUCCCGCAGGAGGCCACCCAGACUUUGCCCGGCGAGGACGCGCUUCCCCCUAGGCCCGGGGUCUACGGCGUCUUCGACCCCGCCGGGGACCUGCAGUUUCUCGGGAUCUCGCGCAACGUCAGGGCCAGCGUCGAGGGGCACCGCAGAAAGGUGCCCGCUGACCUCUGCGCCUCCGUCAAGGUUGCAAUACCAGACGAGGAAACACCAGAUAAAAGUGUCCUGACUAAUGCCUGGAAAUCAUGGAUGGAAGAAUACAUAGCAGCCACUGGCAAGGCACCACCAGGGAACGUUGCCGGGAACCACACCUGGAUCGGUCCUCCACAGAGACCUGCAGAUUUGCGUUUGACUCCUGGUCGCCAUGUUCAGCUAACUGUGCCACUUGAACAGUUGAUUGAUCGGUUAGUGAAGGAAAAUAAAGUGGUUGCCUUCAUCAAAGGAUCAAGAAGUGCUCCCCAGUGUGGGUUCUCGCAAAGAGUGGUGGGGAUCCUGGAGGCACAUGGAGUGGAUUUUGCAUCCGUAGAUAUUCUUGAUGAGGAGCACAACCAUGGGUUGAGAGAGACCCUCAAGACCUACAGCAACUGGCCAACCUUCCCACAGGUUUUUGUUGGAGGAGAACUUGUGGGCGGAUGUGAUAUUAUUUCAUCCAUGGCUGAAAAGGGGGAGCUUGCUGCCCUAUUUCAGAAAUAGCACUCUCACCUUGGAGUUUAAGUAAUGUCUUGUUUUAUCAGGUGCAAAAUGUGACCUUAUCUCUUGUACUGUUGCAAUAAUGCUUAGCUUAUUGUAAGGCACAAAGUUCUUGGCUCAGAAACACGUUGAUUCAAUUUAGAUGAGGCAGCGUUGUACUGUGAAACUUGCUGGUUGUUUUUGAGAGAGGGCUUAGCAAAGGUGGCUGUGUGUAUUUUUGUGGUCGUUUCACAUCUUGCACAUGAAUACAUUGUAGCUACAUGAGAAAGUAUGUGAUGCAUGAAGUGAGAAAAUCGUUGGAUUGAGUUCUAAGGUUCAACUCAGAAAAGUAAAAUUGUGAAUGAAACUUGGAAUAUUUUUCUAGGUUCACUUUACAACUAGCUGAUAACUGAGAUGUUUCCUGUUGCCUCAGUACUUCCUUUAUUUUUCUUCUUUCAAAUUAGAAGAAAACAAAGCUAUUUGCACUUCAAGUGUCAGUUGAUUUAUUGUCACUGUGCUCAAGAGUGUUCACCAUGUUACCGAAGUGUUUGGAUCUGUACAAUGAGGAGUCAAGAGAGUAGCCUUGUAGAUUUCUGGAACAGAUUUAUUUUCUGUUAAUGAACUUUACUAUUGGAAUAAGUAACAGAAGAGAAGCAGCAAGCUUUCCUGUACCAUAUGUUGGCUGGUUAUCUGUAUAACUCUACCAGAAGCAAAUAUAGCAGGUAAGCUCAACACUUGAUGCAGAUUAUCUGAAUAUUAAAGAGAAGAUAUGGCAAUCAAUCUUUACUAGUUUAGGGAAGUUUCUACUGGAGGCAAGAUAUCUUCCAAGCAUGAUUUAUUCAAUUAAUUCCAGAAUCAGGGUAAGCAAUGACUCAACCUGUAUCUUUUUGAUUCAGUUCUGAGCACUCCUGUUUUAACUUAAAUCAGAAUGGGUUCUCUACUGUUGCAUUUUUGCCUUACUUUCUGCCAUUACUAAAGAGUGUUUUUUCCUCCAGCAGAAGCCAUCAUAAAUUUGCUGGGCCUUAUGGUUAGGAGUUGGACGGAUCGAUGUCAUCCACAAUCACCAGGAAACUUCUGAUGUCAUGUUGCAGCAGACUGGCCAGUCAUGCUGUGAGGACGAGCACUCUGUGCUGAAUGCCCUCUUUGCAAGCCUUUUCCACUUCAAGGAAAUUGAUGGGAUUUUGGGCCUUUAGGCUAAUCCUCGGUUGCGUAUGGGGGUUUCUCUUGUGUUUCUCAAUUUAAGAUUGGAUCCCUGGAGGAGAUAUACGCACCGACAGAAAGGAGCAACUGGAACUACAAGUACAGAAAACCUCUCACACACCAAGAGAAGAUAGAUAUAUUCGACAAAGGAAGAAGUUGGAUUGCCAAUAUAGUUUCUUUCCAUUCCAGAGAUGGAUUGGUCGGUCUGGAAGAGCCAAUGGCGACCAACCAUAGAGGCCCAAGAAUAUGCUCUUGUGCUUACAGGCACGUCUUCUUGUCCAUCUUUUAGGGGAGGAUGGCCCGGUUUGGCUAGUGAAGAAACCAUCGUGUUCCAUGCACAAACGGCAAAUGCCGGCCGUGCCUAUCCCGAAUUCAUGAUCUUCUCUGUUGCUUCUCUG
Molecule: ribosomal RNA, 2491 nt
Filed under: Triticum aestivum (bread wheat)
Lineage: Eukaryota; Viridiplantae; Streptophyta; Magnoliopsida; Poales; Poaceae
Description: partial small subunit ribosomal RNA
Source: RNAcentral